GCCUUUGUGAUGAAAUGGUAGACAUAUCGACUUCAAAAGUCGACGCUUUUACGCGUACCGGUUCGAGUCCGGUCAAGGGCA
Molecule: transfer RNA, 81 nt
Filed under: Aphanochaete confervicola
Lineage: Eukaryota; Viridiplantae; Chlorophyta; Chlorophyceae; Chaetophorales; Aphanochaetaceae
Description: tRNA-Leu
Rfam family: tRNA
About the family: Transfer RNA (tRNA) molecules are approximately 80 nucleotides in length. Their secondary structure includes four short double-helical elements and three loops (D, anti-codon, and T loops).
Source: RNAcentral